Molecule: ribosomal RNA, 253 nt
Filed under: uncultured bacterium
Lineage: Bacteria
Description: partial 16S ribosomal RNA
Rfam family: Bacterial small subunit ribosomal RNA
Source: RNAcentral
UACGAAGGGGGCUAGCGUUGCUCGGAAUCACUGGGCGUAAAGCGCACGUAGGCGGGUUUUUAAGUCGGGGGUGAAAUCCUGGAGCUCAACUCCAGAACUGCCUUUGAUACUGGCGAUCUUGAGUCCGGGAGAGGUGAGUGGAACUGCGAGUGUAGAGGUGAAAUUCGUAGAUAUUCGCAAGAACACCAGUGGCGAAGGCGGCUCACUGGCCCGGUACUGACGCUGAGGUGCGAAAGCGUGGGGAGCAAACAGG